This 393-nucleotide ribosomal RNA is filed under the name uncultured bacterium. RNAcentral's name for it is "partial 16S ribosomal RNA". It matches the Rfam family "Bacterial small subunit ribosomal RNA", at positions 523 to 918 of the family's 1533-position model. The record is from RNAcentral.
AUACGGAGGAUCCGAGCGUUAUCCGGAUUUAUUGGGUUUAAAGGGUGCGUAGGUGGUUUGAUAAGUCAGCGGUGAAAGUUUGCAGCUUAACUGUAAAAAUGCCGUUGAAACUGUCGGACUUGAGUGUAAAUGAGGUAGGCGGAAUGCGUGGUGUAGCGGUGAAAUGCAUAGAUAUCACGCAGAACUCCGAUUGCGAAGGCAGCUUACUAAGCUACAACUGGCACUGAAGCACGAAAGCGUGGGGAUCAAACAGGAUUAGAUACCCUGGUAGUCCACGCAGUAAACGAUGAUUACUAGCUGUUUGCGAUACACAGUAAGCGGCACAGCGAAAGCGUUAAGUAAUCCACCUGGGGAGUACGCCGGCAACGGUGAAACUCAAAUGAAUUGACGGGG